Molecule: unclassified non-coding RNA, 223 nt
Filed under: Hevea brasiliensis (rubber tree)
Lineage: Eukaryota; Viridiplantae; Streptophyta; Magnoliopsida; Malpighiales; Euphorbiaceae
Source: RNAcentral
CGGAAUCAAUGUCAAAAGGUUCCUCAGAAGGCUCAUAAUUCUUCAAACUUGUUUCUAGAUUGAUCAGUGGGACAUCCAGCGAGCCAAAAAGAAAGUCGGUGACAUCCUUCUCAGUUUCGGUAACUGUAUCAUCACCUCCUAGAGUUUUUAAAUAUAGGGUGGCCCUAUCUCGAACCUCAUCGUCAUUGUCAAAGAGACAUCGUCUCAACAGAACAAAUAUUCG